This 403-nucleotide ribosomal RNA is filed under the name uncultured bacterium. RNAcentral describes it as "partial 16S ribosomal RNA". It matches the Rfam family "Bacterial small subunit ribosomal RNA", at positions 30 to 526 of the family's 1533-position model. The record is from RNAcentral.
AUUGAACGCUAGCGGCAGGCCUAACACAUGCAAGUCGAGCGAGCGGCGGAAGGGUGAGGAAUGUGUGGGGACUGCCCGCUCGAGGUGGAUCACUCCUGGAAACGGUCGCUAAUACCGCAUCCUCUCGGAUAACACAUAUGGGAUUAGCUAGUAGGUGAGGUAAUGGCUCACCUAGGCGACGAUCCCUAGCGGGUCUGAUAGGAUGAUCCGCCACACUGGGACUGAGACACGGCCCAGACUCCUACGGAGGCAGCAGUGGGGAAUAUUGCACAAUGGGCGCAAGCCUGAUGCAGCCAUGCCGCGUGUAUGAAGAAGGCCCUAGGGUUGUAAAGUACUUUCAGUCGGGAGGCGUUACCGACAGAAGAAGCACCGGCUAACUCCGUGCCAGCAGCCGCGGUAAUAC